CCUACGGGAGGCAGCAGUGGGGAAUAUUGCGCAAUGGGCGGAAGCCUGACGCAGCGACGCCGCGUGGGGGAUGACGGCCUUCGGGUUGUAAACCUCUUUCGCCAGGGACGAGGAGUGAUUGACGGUACCUGGAGAAGAAGCACCGGCCAACUACGUGCCAGCAGCCGCGGUAACACGUAGGGUGCGAGCGUUGUCCGGAAUUAUUGGGCGUAAAGAGCUCGUAGGCGGUGUGUCGCGUCGGCCGUGAAAACUUGGGGCUUAACUCUGAGCGUGCGGUCGAUACGGGCAUCACUUGAGUUCGGCAGGGGAGACUGGAAUUCCUGGUGUAGCGGUGAAAUGCGCAGAUAUCAGGAGGAACACCGGUGGCGAAGGCGGGUCUCUGGGCCGAUACUGACGCUGAGGAGCGAAAGCGUGGGGAGCGAACAGGAUUAGAUACCCUGGUAGUCCACGCCGUAAACGUUGGGCGCUAGGUGUGGGGACCAUUCCACGGUUUCUGUGCCGCAGCUAACGCAUUAAGCGCCCCGCCUGGGGAGUACGGCCGCAAGGCUAAAACUCAAAGGAAUUGACGG
Molecule: ribosomal RNA, 569 nt
Filed under: actinobacterium ZJ0208B20
Lineage: Bacteria; Bacillati; Actinomycetota; Actinomycetes
Description: bacterial SSU rRNA
Rfam family: Bacterial small subunit ribosomal RNA
Source: RNAcentral